CCACUAAUUACUGGGGCUUGCUGGCCUUCUACAAUGUCCUUGCAAGGGCACAUUUUCUUCCCAUUGUAGCAUUAACUUCUAAUUGGCAUCUUCCUUCCCUUUUCCCAACUGCACCUAAAACUUUAAGCUUUUUCACACAAUCUGACGGUGCUAAUCACCUGAUCUGUGCUUUAUAUGCUCCAAUAAUUACCAUCAUGCCAAAUAACAAAUUUGAGCAAAGGUAGGUUUUCAGUGUGGUUCUCCAAAAGAAUUCUGUUCAUUUAUACUAUGCAGUAUGUUAACAGUAUUGCUACUCAUGUAAGUGAAAAAAAAUUAACUUUUUUUUCCACAGCAAAAACCUUGUGUUGAUUGUAGAUAUUUGGUUUUUUUUAAUUUAAAUAAAGUUUUCCCUCACAACUUUUCAUUUACUUUCAUAAUAAAACUCAUCAUUUUAAAUAG
Heteronotia binoei (common prickly gecko) is the source of this 438-nucleotide long non-coding RNA. RefSeq lists it as uncharacterized. The record is from RefSeq and is a predicted model, not a curated record. The transcript has 2 exons. Lineage: Eukaryota; Metazoa; Chordata; Lepidosauria; Squamata; Gekkonidae.